UAUUGGUCGCAUCACAAAGGUUAUCCCAGGUGCAGAUGGAAGGAUAAGGACAGCGGAGAUCCAGGUGAAUGACAGGAACUACACCAGGCCAGUUGCCCGUCUUGUUCAACUUCCUGCCAUACCUGAGACAGCACCUGAGACAGCCAGUCUUUCUAUGGGACAGCAAAUUUGACUGUGCAAAUUUGGGGGCGGCUGUGAAGAAGGACUCGCUGUAACAGGGAUCAGCCAAUCAGCGGCUUCGUUUCAGUUUUCGCGACGACAGUUUUUAGUUUCGUUUUGAGUUGGUCGUGAGAUUGGCCGGGAAACGCAUUGUAGAUAUUUCUGAGGUGAAUAGUUGUCGUCCGUGCCGCUAUCUGUACAUGUGUGCGUUCAGAGACAUAACCACACAUACUGUACAUUCAUGAAGACAGAUAAUCCUCUGCUGACUGUCAAUAAACCCAUCAAAGAGAUUUACAGCAUCUAAUUGCAUUCUUAUCGAUGCACCACAGUGGUCACUAAUCCCCAACUAGCUACAGUUACAGUCCUAGCUAUCAAGUCAUCAUU
Molecule: long non-coding RNA, 543 nt
Organism: Cyprinus carpio (common carp)
Lineage: Eukaryota; Metazoa; Chordata; Actinopteri; Cypriniformes; Cyprinidae
Source: RefSeq, a predicted model, not a curated record